CCUACGGGAGGCAGCAGUGGGGAAUAUUGCACAAUGGGGGAAACCCUGAUGCAGCGACGCCGCGUGAGCGAAGAAGUAUUUCGGUAUGUAAAGCUCUAUCAGCAGGGAAGAAAAUGACGGUACCUGACUAAGAAGCCCCGGCUAAAUACGUGCCAGCAGCCGCGGUAAUACGUAUGGGGCAAGCGUUAUCCGGAUUUACUGGGUGUAAAGGGAGCGCAGGCGGCUUGGCAAGUCUGAUGUGAAAGGCUGGGGCUCAACCCCAGGACUGCAUUGGAAACUGUUAGGCUAGAGUGUCGGAGAGGUAA
RNAcentral lists this ribosomal RNA (305 nucleotides) under uncultured bacterium. RNAcentral describes it as "bacterial SSU rRNA". It matches the Rfam family "Bacterial small subunit ribosomal RNA", at positions 338 to 660 of the family's 1533-position model. The record is from RNAcentral.